AGGAUGAACGCUGGCGGCGUGCUUAACACAUGCAAGUCGAACGAUGAAGGCUGGAGCUUGCUCUGGCUGGAUUAGUGGCGAACGGGUGAGUAACACGUGAGUAACCUGCCCCAGACUCUGGGAUAAGCGCUGGAAACGGCGUCUAAUACCGGAUACGAGCUUCCACCGCAUGGUGAGGAGCUGGAAAGAAUUUCGGUCUGGGAUGGACUCGCGGCCUAUCAGCUUGUUGGUGAGGUAAUGGCUCACCAAGGCGACGACGGGUAGCCGGCCUGAGAGGGUGACCGGCCACACUGGGACUGAGACACGGCCCAGACUCCUACGGGAGGCAGCAGUGGGAAUAUUGCACAAGUGGGCGCAAGCCUGAUGCAGGCAACGCCGCGUAGAGGACGAAGGCCUUCGGUUGUAAACCUCUUUUAGUAGGAAGAAGCGAAAGUGACGGUACUGCAAGAAAAGCAACCGGCUAACUACGUGACCAGAC
This 478-nucleotide ribosomal RNA is filed under the name uncultured soil bacterium. Its description in RNAcentral is "bacterial SSU rRNA". It matches the Rfam family "Bacterial small subunit ribosomal RNA", at positions 26 to 516 of the family's 1533-position model. The record is from RNAcentral.